CAUGCAAGUCGAACGAUGAACCACUUCGGUGGGGAUUAGUGGCGAACGGGUGAGUAACACGUGGGCAAUCUGCCCUUCACUCUGGGACAAGCCCUGGAAACGGGGUCUAAUACCGGAUACUGACCCUCGCAGGCAUCUGCGAGGUUCGAAAGCUCCGGCGGUGAAGGAUGAGCCCGCGGCCUAUCAGCUUGUUGGUGAGGUAAUGGCUCACCAAGGCGACGACGGGUAGCCGGCCUGAGAGGGCGACCGGCCACACUGGGACUGAGACACGGCCCAGACUCCUACGGGAGGCAGCAGUGGGGAAUAUUGCACAAUGGGCGAAAGCCUGAUGCAGCGACGCCGCGUGAGGGAUGACGGCCUUCGGGUUGUAAACCUCUUUCAGCAGGGAAGAAGCGAAAGUGACGGUACCUGCAGAAGAAGCGCCGGCUAACUACGUGCCAGCAGCCGCGGUAAUACGUAGGGCGCAAGCGUUGUCCGGAAUUAUUGGGCGUAAAGAGCUCGUAGGCGGCUUGUCACGUCGGUUGUGAAAGCCCGGGGCUUAACCCCGGGUCUGCAGUCGAUACGGGCAGGCUAGAGUUCGGUAGGGGAGAUCGGAAUUCCUGGUGUAGCG
RNAcentral lists this ribosomal RNA (610 nucleotides) under Actinomycetales bacterium A269. RNAcentral's name for it is "bacterial SSU rRNA". It matches the Rfam family "Bacterial small subunit ribosomal RNA", at positions 54 to 680 of the family's 1533-position model. Lineage: Bacteria; Bacillati; Actinomycetota; Actinomycetes; Actinomycetales. The record is from RNAcentral.